AUGAACGCUGGCGGCGUGCCUAAUACAUGCCAGUCGAGCGAACGGACGAGAAGCUUGCUUCUCUGAUGUUAGCGGCGGACGGGUGAGUAACACGUGGAUAACCUACCUAUAAGACUGGGAUAACUUCGGGAAACCGGAGCUAAUACCGGAUAAUAUUUUGCACCGCAUGGUUCAAAAGUGAAAGACGGUCUUGCUGUCACUUAUAGAUGGAUCCGCGCUGCAUUAGCUAGUUGGUAAGGUAACGGCUUACCAAGGCAACGAUGCAUAGCCGACCUGAGAGGGUGAUCGGCCACACUGGAACUGAGACACGGUCCAGACUCCUACGGGAGGCAGCAGUAGGGAAUCUUCCGCAAUGGGCGAAAGCCUGACGGAGCAACGCCGCGUGAGUGAUGAAGGUCUUCGGAUCGUAAAACUCUGUUAUUAGGGAAGAACAUAUGUGUAAGUAACUGUGCACAUCUUGACGGUACCUAAUCAGAAAGCCACGGCUAACUACGUG
This 496-nucleotide ribosomal RNA is filed under the name uncultured bacterium. RNAcentral's name for it is "partial 16S ribosomal RNA". It matches the Rfam family "Bacterial small subunit ribosomal RNA", at positions 29 to 507 of the family's 1533-position model. The record is from RNAcentral.